This is a long non-coding RNA of Pangasianodon hypophthalmus (striped catfish), 344 nucleotides long. RefSeq lists it as uncharacterized. Lineage: Eukaryota; Metazoa; Chordata; Actinopteri; Siluriformes; Pangasiidae. The record is from RefSeq and is a predicted model, not a curated record. The transcript has 3 exons.
GCGUUUUGGAUGUUAUGAUGAUUUCUGAAUUGCAUGGAAAUAUGUGCUGUUUGACUUGAGUCUCACAAACAUUGAUUUUUUUGUACUUUUACAAUAGGUUCUGUUUGUUUAUGUGCAUAAAAUAUCCAGUGGUUUAAACAGUCUCCAAUUAUGACACUGAAUCCCAUCUGUAAAGCAGCAUCCUGUCUGUGUAUCAUUCUCAGGAUCUCAGCAAGGAGGCUUCACAAGUGGGAUAUGAUGUGAGGACAUCUGUUAUGCAACUGAUACACACUGUGAAGGCUACAGGACUUACAAAAAACACCAUGCAAAUCUAAGUGCCAUGCUUGUAAUAUGCUUGUUUUAUA